AUUGAACGCUGGCGGCAUGCUUUACACAUGCAAGUCGAACGGCAGCGCGGGCUUCGGCCUGGCGGCGAGUGGCGAACGGGUGAGUAAUGCAUCGGAACGUGCCCAGUAGUGGGGGAUAGCCCGGCGAAAGCCGGAUUAAUACCCCAUACGACCUUAGGGUGAAAGCGGGGGACCGAAAGGCCUCGCGCUAUUGGAGCGUCCGAUGUCGGAUUAGCUAGUUGGUGGGGUAAAGGCUUACCAAGGCGACGAUCCGUAGCUGGUCUGAGAGGACGACCAGCCACACUGGAACUGAGACACGGCCCAGACUCCUACGGGAGGCAGCAGUGGGGAAUAUUGGACAAUGGGGGCAACCCUGAUCCAGCCAUGCCGCGUGCGGGAAGAAGGCCUUCGGGUUGUAAACCGCUUUUGUUCGGGAAGAAAUGCUCUGGGCUAAUACCCCGGGGGGAUGACGGUACCGGAAGAAUAAGCACCGGCUAACUACGUG
RNAcentral lists this ribosomal RNA (484 nucleotides) under uncultured bacterium. RNAcentral describes it as "partial 16S ribosomal RNA". It matches the Rfam family "Bacterial small subunit ribosomal RNA", at positions 29 to 507 of the family's 1533-position model. The record is from RNAcentral.